Molecule: ribosomal RNA, 404 nt
Filed under: uncultured prokaryote
Also listed under: 1 other name
Description: bacterial SSU rRNA
Rfam family: Bacterial small subunit ribosomal RNA
Source: RNAcentral
UGGGGAAUAUUGCACAAUGGGCGAAAGCCUGAUGCAGCAACGCCGCGUGAGCGAUGAAGGCCUUCGGGUCGUAAAGCUCUGUCCUCAAGGAAGAUAAUGACGGUACUUGAGGAGGAAGCCCCGGCUAACUACGUGCCAGCAGCCGCGGUAAUACGUAGGGGGCAAGCGUUGUCCGGAAUGAUUGGGCGUAAAGGGCGCGUAGGCGGCCUGUUAAGUCUGGAGUGAAAUUCCCGCUUUUAAGGUGGGAACUGCUUUGGAUACUGAUGGGCUUGAGUGCAGGAGAGGUAAGCGGAAUUCCCGGUGUAGCGGUGAAAUGCGUAGAGAUCGGGAGGAACACCAGUGGCGAAGGCGGCUUACUGGACUGUAACUGACGCUGAGGCGCGAAAGUGUGGGGAGCAAACAGG